Molecule: ribosomal RNA, 507 nt
Filed under: uncultured bacterium
Lineage: Bacteria
Description: partial 16S ribosomal RNA
Rfam family: Bacterial small subunit ribosomal RNA
Source: RNAcentral
GACGAACGCUGGCGGCGUGCCUAAUACAUGCAAGUCGAACGCUUCUUUCCUCCCGAGUGCUUGCACUCAAUUGGAAAGAGGAGUGGUGGACGGGUGAGUAACACGUGGGUAACCUACCCAUCAGAGGGGAAUAACACUUGGAAACAGGUGCUAAUACCGCAUAACAGUUUAUGCCGCAUGGCAUAAGAGUGAAAGGCGCUUUCGGGUGUCGCUGAUGGAUGGACCCGCGGUGCAUUAGCUAGUUGGUGAGGUAACGGCUCACCAAGGCCACGAUGCAUAGCCGACCUGAGAGGGUGAUCGGCCACACUGGGACUGAGACACGGCCCAGACUCCUACGGGAGGCAGCAGUAGGGAAUCUUCGGCAAUGGACGAAAGUCUGACCGAGCAACGCCGCGUGAGUGAGAAGGUUUUCGGAUCGUAAAACUCUGUUGUUAGAGAAGAACAAGGACGUUAGUAACUGAACGUCCCCUGACGGUAUCUAACCAGAAAGCCACGGCUAACUACGUG